CUUGGUCAUUUAGAGGAAGUAAAAGUCGUAACAAGGUUUCCGUAGGUGAACCUGCGGAAGGAUCAUUACCGAGUUCAUGCCCUCACGGGUAGAUCUCCCACCCUUUGUAUACCAUACCUUUGUUGCUUUGGCGGGCCGCCUAGCUACUGGCUUCGGCUGGUAAGUGCCCGCCAGAGGACCCAAAACCCUGAUUAUUAGUGCCGUCUGAGUAAAAUUUUAAUAUUUAAAACUUUCAACAACGGAUCUCUUGGCUCUGGCAUCGAUGAAGAACGCAGCGAAAUGCGAUAAGUAAUGUGAAUUGCAGAAUUCAGUGAAUCAUCGAAUCUUUGAACGCACAUUGCGCCCCUUGGUAUUCCGAGGGGCAUGCCUAUUCGAGCGUCAUUAUCACCCCUCAAGCUUCGGCUUGGUGUUGAGGCCUGCUGUAAAGGCACCCUCUAAAAUCAGUGGCAGUGCUGUCAGGCUCUAAGCGUAGUAAUUUCAUCGCUAUAGGGUCCUGGUGGAUACUCGUCAAAACCCCCCCAUUUUUUAAUGAUUGACCUCGGAUUAGGUAGGGAUACCCGCUGAACUUAAGCAUAUCAAUAAGCGGAGGAAAAGAAACCAACAGGGAUUGCCUCAGUAACGGCGAGUGAAGCGGCAAAAGCUCAAAUUUGAAAUCUGGCUCUUUUAGGGUCCGAGUUGUAAUUUGUAGAAGAUGUUUCGGGUGUGGCUCCGGUUUAAGUUCUUUGGAAUAUUACAUCAUAGAGGGUGAGAAUCCCGUAUGUGACCGGCAGCCUUCGCCUAUGUGAAACUCUUUCGACGAGUCGAGUUGUUUGGGAAU
This 817-nucleotide small RNA is filed under the name uncultured Tetracladium. RNAcentral's name for it is "eukaryotic LSU rRNA". The stretch from base 534 to 817 matches the Rfam family "Eukaryotic large subunit ribosomal RNA", at positions 1 to 281 of the family's 3401-position model. The record is from RNAcentral. Lineage: Eukaryota; Fungi; Ascomycota.